This is a long non-coding RNA of Loxodonta africana (African savanna elephant), 104 nucleotides long. It matches the Rfam family "HOXA11 antisense RNA 1 conserved region 3". NCBI's taxonomy places the organism in Eukaryota, Metazoa, Chordata, Mammalia, Proboscidea, Elephantidae. The record is from Rfam.
CGCCUAGUCUGCUGGCGCCGAGGACUCGGACUCGGGAAACCACGCAGUUGAAGCGAGCCUGGGGCUUCUUUAGAGGCGCUGACAUCCGAGGAGCCUUCUCCUGG